Molecule: ribosomal RNA, 77 nt
Filed under: Listeria monocytogenes
Lineage: Bacteria; Bacillati; Bacillota; Bacilli; Caryophanales; Listeriaceae
Also listed under: 1 other name
Source: RNAcentral
CCGAACACGGUAGUUAAGCUUCUCUGCGCCAAUGGUAGUUGGGGGCUUCCCCCUGCGAGAGUAGGUCGCUGCCGGGC